CCUACGGUGGGCAGCAGUGAGGAAUAUUGGUCAAUGGGCGCGAGCCUGAACCAGCCAAGUAGCGUGAAGGAUGACUGCCCUACGGGUUGUAAACUUCUUUUAUAAAGGAAUAAAGUGAGGCACGUGUGCCUUUUUGUAUGUACUUUAUGAAUAAGGAUCGGCUAACUCCGUGCCAGCAGCCGCGGUAAUACGGAGGAUCCGAGCGUUAUCCGGAUUUAUUGGGUUUAAAGGGAGCGUAGAUGGGUUGUUAGGUCAGUUUUGAAAGUUUGCGGCUCAACCGUAAAAUUGCAAUUGAUACUGGCAGCCUUGAGUACAGUUGAGGUAGGCGUAAUUCGUGGUGUAGCGGUGAAAUUCUUAGAUAUCACGAAGAACUCCGAGUGCGAAGGCAGCCUACUAAACUGCCACUGACAUUGAUGCUCGAAAGUGUGGGUAUCAAACAGGAUUAGAUACCCCGGUAGUC
Molecule: ribosomal RNA, 460 nt
Filed under: uncultured bacterium
Lineage: Bacteria
Description: partial 16S ribosomal RNA
Rfam family: Bacterial small subunit ribosomal RNA
Source: RNAcentral